CUCAUUAGUAUUAAUAAAAAUUACCAAUCAGGUGAAGAGGCCUGAAUAAAAUAAAAAGACAAAAAGACCCUAUGGAGCUUUAUUUAAAUCCCUAAUCACACCAGCCCUACACCACCCCACCUUAGGCAAAUAAAUUUAGUUGGGGCGACUAAGGAAAACCAUAAAUCUUCCUCCCUAAAAAGAAAAUAAAUCCCGAUUGAUCCGUUAUACGAAUAUAGACACAGCUACCCUAGGGAUAACAGGCUAAUUCUUCUCGAGAGCCCAAAUUGACAGAAGAGAUUGGCACCUCGAUGUUGGCUUAGGGUUUCUAUAAGAUGCAGAAGUCUUAUAAGUGGGUUUGUUCAACCCUUAAAACCCU
RNAcentral lists this ribosomal RNA (358 nucleotides) under Laonice sp. 349 PB. Its description in RNAcentral is "partial 16S ribosomal RNA". It matches the Rfam family "Bacterial large subunit ribosomal RNA", at positions 2049 to 2597 of the family's 2925-position model. The record is from RNAcentral. Lineage: Eukaryota; Metazoa; Annelida; Polychaeta; Spionida; Spionidae.